CCGAGAAAAGAAUAUAAACAGUCAGAGACUACGGCUGUCGAUGAAAAAUAUCAAACUAACUACUCAAAUGGUUGGAGCAAAGAGUUGGAGGAGAGCAUGAAGGGCGUAGCGAAAGUGCUACAAAUGAAAGAUCAAGCGGAGUACGUCACAGUGGGGAAGUUGGUACUGAACAUCAACAAAGGUUUCGCCAUCGCGGGGCCGGUUUUUGCGGGAAUGGCGGCAGCGGCCGCAGGGUUUAUUGGAUUGCCAGCAACUGGGUCGUGGCCCGUGUUGAUCGCGGCGGUCGGAGGCGCGCUAGCGGCCACCGUGAACACGCUGGAGCACGGCGGGCAAGUCGGGAUGGUGUUCGAGCUCGCCCGGAACUGCGCCGGCUUUUACAAGAAGCUGGAGGAGGAGAUAGAGGAGAGUUUGGAGGAGAGAGAAGCGGAGAAGAGAGAGAACGGGGAGUUGUUUGAGUUGAAAAUGGCGUUGAGUUUGGGGAGAAGCGUUUCGGAUUUGAGAAAGUUUAGAUCCUUUGCUUCUGCGUCGUGCAAAGACGAAGAAGUUACCGAGUUUGCAGGGAAAUUGUUCUGAGUGUACAUACGUACAUAUAGGGUGAUCGAUUACUAAUUAAUGCUAACAAAUUCAUUCAUUUAUUUGUUGAUACAUGAAAUUAUACAAGUGACAAUUUGUAAGAAAUAUUAAUUGUUGUUAUUUUUAUUUGAAAUGUAUACAGAAAAUUUUUGAUAAAUUUGAGCAUAUAUUUAAAUGAUAAAAAAAAUAAAUUUAACGGCGAAAAAUUGAAUAGCACCAAGCACAUAAUACUAUUGAUAGUAAUAUAUAUAUAUAUAUAUAUAUAUUGAUGAGAAUGAUUAUAGGUGAUACAAUUUUUAGUACCUAUUUAUAAAACAGCUCUAUUCAAGCGAUUCAUCCACAAAAGCUCUAAUUAAUAGUUAUGCGGCAUACCAACGGUACCUAGAGUAAAUGGCAAAGGAUUUGGUGGUUAUGUACGAAGCUUCGAAAUGCUUUGCAUAUGCAUGUUUUGCAUGGUGAUAAAUAUGUAGGCAUUGUGUAGUUUGAAUUUGUAUUGUGGAUUGUGGAAGAAACAAUCCAUUAUUAGCAAUGCUUCAAGAAUGUCCUUUUUUGUGUUUUCUAUUCUACUAUAUAUUGAAUAUAAAUUGUUUAAACAGUCUUUUUCAAUUGACAAUACAGUUAUAGAUCUUAGAUUCAAGCUUUUCUGAGUUUAUACUCUUGUUUAAUUUUCUUGGAUUCAAUAGUAAGCGAAACACAUAUGGUGACAUUGUGGGCCCAAUUAGAAGCUCAAAUGUUGAAAUUUAUUUGUUUAAAUCUGGUUGGAAGCGUAAUUUUCUCAAAUACUAAUAGUUGGAAUUGGGAUUUGUGCUCACACGGAUCAUAUAAAUCAAAAUUUAAAAUAAAAUAAAAUAAUAUAGAGAAGAGAUAUUGGAGAAGAAAGGAUAUAACUAAACUAAUACUUUAUUAAUCAAAAGACUAAUAUAUAUGGCCUCAUUAUACUCUUUACUAUACCCGGCCAGUAACCUUAGGGCCGUAUGUAUUAGUCUUUUGGCUAAUAAAGUAUUAGUUUUGUUAAUUUUUUUUUACUUCAAUACCUUUUAUUCAUAUUAUUUUAUUAUAUUUUAAAUUUUGAGUUACAUAAUCGGUAUUAUUACAAAUAUCGAUUUCAACAAUUAGUAUCAUAAAAAAUCAUACUUCCAACAAUUAGUAUCAGAGCGGGUUAAAGAUUUUCAAAAUCUGGUAUUAAGACGAGUACCGGAUUUUCAACAAUUGGUAUCAGAGUUUAAAGUUAUCAAUCUUGAAAGAGAUCGACGUCAAAACACUGAAUUUCUGAUAAUUGUAGAAAAUCGAUAUCAGAGCAGGUGUUACCAGUUGUUCGGAGCUUAAGACUCCUAUGAUGGCUCGGAAGUGUUCUCCGAGAAUUAAUUCGAGUACGACUAUUAUUUUUAUAAUUAAGAUAAACUCUAAUAAUUAAAAAAUAUUACUAAUAAAUCUCGUAAUAUGAAAAUAUCACUCAUUUUGACUACCUUCGUAACUAGGUGCACUGUAACUCACACGCAUAUUCAAACAUCUCCAAAACGUGGUUACUAAUUUACAAUCUAAACUUUUUAGUUUACUCAUCUCACUAAUUUCAAAAAAGAAAAAUUACAGAUAAAAGUAAAAAGAUAAAAGUGCAGCUACCUAAUAACUAGUGCGUAAACCUACAUGAUCAAAUUAGGAUAGGUUCAGGCCCUGCUCGUUUAGAAUCGAGUUGACCCUUAGUUUCAAAUUGGAUAGGAGCUGCUCAUAAAUAACCUAUUAAAAGUUUUUUAUCAUUAAAAAAAGAUAUAUUUUAUAUUUUAUAGUUUAAUUGAGCCAAUACUUGUUGAGACAAGUUCUACUCAGGGCCAAGGUCGAGGUCAAUGAAUAGAGCCUAAUAUUUUCAUUUAUAUUAUUAUUAUAUAACAGCCAUGGAUACUGUUCUCGCGUGAAGUUAUGUGAUCGAGGAGACUCCACGCAUGUGUUUUUUGUUUCUAGCUCCGUUUAAAUAAAUGAUGCACUAAUAAAAUAAAUAAAUUAUAAGCAAUCUCCUAUAACUGAUUAAUUUACAUAAUAACCAAUAUAAAGUAAGUGAAAGCUGCAUCUCUUAAAUUUAAUUAGCAUUUUCAUUUGAUAUCUUUGAAUUGUGCAAAGGAUUAGAAAAAAAUUGAUUUUUUCAAGAUCGAUGCAUGUUAGAGUAACUAAUGUGCUCUGUUUGACCAUAUGAGUUAUAAUUUUUUUUUUUUUUCGUCCAAUUAAAUCGCCUUCUAUUUUUCAGUUCAUUAGAAGGUCUCAAUUAAUUGUCAAACAUUUCAAAUUAUGCAGUCUGCCAAUAAAACGAUUUAUUUAUUACGAAAAUAAUAGAUUCUAACCAUAAUUCUUAUUUAACAAAUAUUGUAAAAAUUUUGAACUAAUAAACAAAAUUAUGCUAAGACAUUAAUAUGAGUUUAAAUCUUAUGCUACUUAGGUUCAGACUUCAGAGACCGCUUAAUCCAAAUAUUUUUCUAUUUUUUUAUUUAUUUAGAUUCUUUUUUUUUGAGAGAAAGGUAAUAAACUAUCUGCUUCAUUCAUUAGGAAACUUUCUCUAAGUUUAAUUUUAGAGUUCUUUUUUCUUAAUUUUUUUUCUCUUUAUCUUCUUAUUAUUAGGUAAUGCUAUUAUUAUUAUUAUUAUUAUUAUUAUUAUUAUUAUUAUGGACUAAAUGUCCCGUUAAAUGACCGGUACUUAAGUUGCAGUUGAACUUGUGUAGUCCUUAAUAGGAAGAGGAGAAGAAAAAUAAUCAAAACUUAAUCCCAAGACCCAGUAAUAAAUAAUUGGUAAAAUCAGCGUAGUUGGAAUAGUCAAUUCCAUUCCCCAAGCUACGACCACUUCCGCUCAUAACAACUUAUUAUACUCUUUCAAACACGCCCUGUGAUAUACAGUACGCGCGCGGUCAAGGAUACGACCCAAUCUCAAUCUUAGAACAUUUAUCCACACCUAUAAAUACUCGACCCCAACUUCCCCUUUCUCCUCAUCCACAACCAAAAAUAAGCACUUCUCACAACCGCAGCAACAACAUACAACGACUCCAACAACAACAACAACAACUUUAGAAAUGGCAACUCUACAAGCUCAAAGCCUCUUGCUAUCCAUCUCCUCUUCUUCUUCGUCAUCAUCUUCUUACUCGUUCAGACGGCGGUGUCGUGCAGUCCUCCAUGCGCCGCCGUCGAAUCUUAGCCCGAAAGGUAACAAACCACCGAUCGCAAUUCGCCUCACGGAAGCCGAUGAUCGUCGUCGUGUGAUCACCCCCGCUGGCUUCACCCCACUGCUCCCCCCGAAAUCGCCGCAAGCAAAGAUUGAUGAUGCGGUGAUCCGCAAGCUCUACGCGAUCGCGGAAGCCGCCGCCGACCGUGCGGAGAUGCACGCGAUCAUCGGGAAGCAGCGCGACAACUGGAACCACCUCUUCCUUCACUCCGUCAACUCCCUCGCCCUCUCGGCCUCGCUGAUGUCCGGCCUAGCCUGCGUCGGGUCCGACGCCUCCUCGCCCCACGUUUUAGCCUUCAAACUCUCCUCCGUGCUGUUAUUCGCUGCCACGUCAACGGUGAUGCUGGUGGUCAACAAGGUACAACCGUCUCAGCUCGCCGAAGAGCAAAGGAACGCGGCGAGAUUGUGGAGGAAGCUCGAGAAGGAGAUUCAAAGCAAACUCUCGCUCCAAACUCCACGCGAGUCGGACGUGGACGCCUCGAUGAGGAAGGUGUUAGCUCUCGACAAGGCAUACCCGCUCCCUCUCCUUCCCGGCAUGCUCGAGAAGUUCCCUAAGAAGGUGGAGCCCACGUGUUGGUGGCCGAGAAAAGAAUAUAAACAGUCAGAGACUACGGCUAUCGACGAAAAAUAUCAAACUAACUACUCAAAUGGUUGGAGCAAAGAGUUGGAGGAGAGCAUGAAGGGCGUAGCGAAAGUGCUACAAACGAAAGAUCAAGCGGAGUACGUCACAGUGGGGAAGUUGGUACUGAACAUCAACAAAGGUUUCGCCAUCGCGGGGCCGGUUUUUGCGGGAAUGGCGGCAGCGGCCGCAGGGUUUAUUGGAUUGCCAGCAACUGGGUCGUGGCCCGUGUUGGUCACGGCGGUCGGGGGCGCGCUAGCGGCCACCGUGAACACGCUGGAGCACGGCGGGCAGGUCGGGAUGGUGUUCGAGCUCGCCCGGAACUGCGCCGGCUUUUACAAGAAGCUGGAGGAGGAGAUAGAGGAGAGUUUGGAGGAGAGAGAAGCGGAGAAGAGAGAGAACGGGGAGUUGUUUGAGUUGAAAAUGGCGUUGAGUUUGGGGAGAAGCGUUUCGGAUUUGAGAAAGUUUAGAUCCUUUGCUUCUGCAUCGGGCAAAGUCGACGAAGAUGUUACCGAGUUUGCCGGGAAAUUGUUCUAAGUGUACAUGCGUACAUAUAUAGGGUGAUCGAUUACUAAUUAAUGCUAACAAAUUCAUUCAUUUAUUUGUUGAUACAUGAAAUUAUACAAGUGACAAUUUGUAAGAAAUAUUAAUUGUUGUUAUUUUUAUUUGAAAUGUAUACAGAAAAUUUUUGAUAAAUUUGAGCAUAUAUUUAAAUGAUAAAAAAAAUAAAUUUAACGGCGAAAAACUCGAUAGUAUCAAGUAAAUAAUACUAUUAAUAGUAUAGUAGUCGGAAGGUGAUACAAUUUUUAGUGCCUAUUUAUUAAGCAGCUCUAUUCAAGCGACUCAUCCACAAAAGCUCUAAUUAAAAGUUAUGCGGCACCGGCCGUAAACUACCUAAUUGGCAGUGGAGAAUAAUUUAACAAAGGAGUAAACGACUGCUUAAUUGAUCAAGCUUGUUACUGGAACACAAAUCUCUAACGGAUACGAAAAACAUAAAAAUAAUAAUAACGUAUGAGGCUUCGAAAUGCUUGGAUAUGCAUUUUUUGAAUGGUGAUAGAUAUGUAGCCAUUGUAUAGUCUGAAUUUGUAUUGUGGAUUGUGGAAGAAACAAUCCAUUUUUAGCAAUGCUUCAAGAAUGUCCUUUUUCGCGUUUUCUAUUCUACUAUAUAUUGAAUAUAAAUCGUUAAAACAGUCCUUUUCAAUUGAUAUUAGAGUUGUAGAUCUUAGAUUCGAUCAAGCUUUUCUGAGCUUAUACUCUAGUUUAAUUUUCUCGGAUUCAAUAGUAAGCGAAAUAUAUAUAUGAUGACAUUGUGGGCCCAAUUAGAAGGUCAACUGUUGAAAUUUAUUUGUUUAGGUCUAGUUGCGUGAUUUUCUCCGAUACAUGGUUGGAAUCAAAAGUUAUGCUGAUACCGAUUAUAUAAAUCAAAAUUUAAAAUAGAAUAAAUUAAUACGAAGAAAAGAUAUUGGAGGAGGAAGAAUAUAACUAAACUAAUACUUUAGUAAUCAAAAGACUAAUUACAUACAGCCUCAUUAUACUCUUUACUAUUUCCAGUAAAUUUAUGGCCGUAUGUAUUAGUCUUUUGACUAACAAAAUAUUUGUUUAGUUAUCCUCAUUCUUCUUCAAUAUCUUUUUUCUUCAUAUUAUUUUGUUCUAUUUUAAAUCUUGAGUUAUAUAAUCGGUAUUAACACAAAUACCGAUUUCAACAAUUGGUAUUAUAGAAAAUCACGCUUCCAACAAUUAAUAUCAGAGCGGGUUGCAGAUUCUCAAGAUCUGAUAUUAGGGCUAGUACCAGAUUUUCAACAAUUGGUAUCAGAGCUUAAGAUUACCGAUUUUGGGAGAGAUUGACGUCAAAGCACUGAAUUUCUGAUUAUUGUAGAAGAUCGAUAUCAGAGCAUAUGUUACCAAUUGUUCGGAGCGAUCAAUGUUUAAAGCGAAAUUUGAUUUCGCUAGGCGCGUUGGACUCGAAAGGGUUGUAAUUUUUCAACCUCAAGUGCAGCUUCGAGGGUCCGAUAGCUAAAUUAGAUCGUGCACAAGGCGAACAAGCACGGGAACUUGCAUGUUUUGAACGAGACCACAAUCAGAAUGGGAAGCGAAAGUAGCUUGGGUUGCAAAAGUUUGUAGAGAUACACUUGCUCAAGAUAGAGUGGCAGAUGUGACGACAUGGAGCGGAUGAGGCAAGUGCAAGGUGGAGCUUGCGUAGUAAGCUCGAUGCGGCGGCUACUACAAAUCAAAUCAAGGUGGUGAUUGUCAGGAUUUGAUUUGAUUUGUAGUUGAAUCCUAAUUAGAUUAGAAUUAAUAUUUAAAUCAGUUGGAGAUAAAUUAAGAUUUAAAUAUUAAUUAGAAUAGAAAUCUAAGUGCAAUAGAAUUUUGGUAACUUUUGAUCUAAAUUGUAAAUAUAGUAUAGGUGCUAUUUUCCAAACUCUAAAACCUUUACAGUAACCAUUUUUAGCCAUGAGACGCUAAGAGCUAUGUUAAUAUGUAUAAAUCAAAACUCUAAUUAACAAUUAAGACUCCUAUGAUGGCUCGCUGCGUGCAAAGUGUUCUUCUAGAAUUAAUUCGAGUACGAUUUUUAUUAUUAUAAUUAAGAUAAACUCUAAUAAAUAUAUUACUAAUUAAUCUCGUAAUAUGAAUCACUCAUUCUGACUAGCUUGGUCACUAGUGCACAGGGCACUGUAACUCACGCAUACACGAACAUCUCCAAAACGUGGUUACUAAUUUACAAUCUAAACUUUUUUAAUUUACUCAUCCCACUAGUUUCAAAAAAAAUAAAAUAAAAUAAAAUAAUAAAAAGAUAACAGUGCAGCUACCUAACAACUAGUACGUGUAAACAAUCUUACAUGAUCAAAUUAAGAUAGGCUCAGGCCCUGCUUGUCCAUAAUCGAGUUGAUCCUUCGUUCCAAGUUGAAUAGGAGCUGCUCAUAAAUAACUUAUUUAAAAGAAUCCUCCCUAAAAUAAUACUAUCAUGAUAUACUAAUAGAAUGUAAGUAAAUAAUUUAAAAUAAAAAAUUUUAAAAUGAAGAAGUAAAAAAGUUCAAAUCCAUUAAAAAUUUAACAUAAUUAUUAUUUAUAUAUAAUUAAUCUUAUUUCAAAUUCUUUUUGACUAAUUUUGUAAACUUAUUGUUUGAAGAAUUUUAAGUGAGUAAAUUUGGAAAGUAAUUUUUUAGAACUUGUGAAGCAUGAUUCAUAUUAUGAUUCCUUUAAACUAAAAAGUUAUUAUUAUUGUGAAUAAUUAGUCAUGUAUGUUUAUCAAUUAUUUUCAACAAAUCAAUCAAAAAUUUAAAUAUAAAUAUCAAACAUACCUCCCAAAAGUAAUUAUUGAGUAUUUCUUGGGAUAGGGGCAAAUAUUUAUGCGCUCUGAAAAUUUCAAUANUUUUUUUUUUUUUUUUUUUUUUUUUUUUUUUUUUUUUUUGGACUGAUAUGCUCAUAAUGAGGUCCUCGUUGUCUCAGCUUAUUUUACUUAAUUCAUAUUUUCAAUGAAUGAAGUGGGUAGUAUGCUAUUUUUUUCUUAAAAAAAAAACUUAUUUAAAAAUUUUUUAUGAUAUUUUUUUUAUAUAUUUUAUAGUUUAAUUGAGCGAAUCCUUGUUGAGACAAGUUCUACUUACGGCCAAGAUGGAGGUCAAUGAAUUGAACCUAAUAUUUUCGUGUGAACUAAACGAAGCGGGUAGCGUGUAGCCCGAGUUCGAAUCCUAGUUGAUUCACAUUUCUAGCUAAGUUUAUUUCUAAAUGAAAUAAACGAAACAAAUAAAUGAAGCGAAUAGCAUGCUACCUAUCUCUUAAAAAAAAAAAAAAAAAAAUUCGUGUGAACUUUUGUGAGGAGACUCCAUGCAUGUGUUAUUUGUCUCUAGCUCCAUCUAAAUAAAUGAUGCACUAAUAAAAUAAAUAAUGGACCGUCCCUAGAGCAAGUGACAAAAGGUUUGGUGGUUGGUAUCCAAGACCCAAGUUCGAAUCUUAGUUGAUUUACAUUUUCAGCUAAGUUUAUUUCUAAAUAAAAUAAACGAAGCUGGUAGCGUACUACCUAUCUUUCAAAAAAAAAAAUAAAUGCAAUCUCCUAUUAUUCAAUAAUUUACACAAUAACCAAUAUAAAGUAAGUGAACGCUGCUUAGCUGCAUCUCUUACAUUUAAUUAGCAUUUUCAUUUGAUAUCUUUGAAUUGCGCAAAGGCUUAGAAAUAUUUGAUUUUUUUCAAGAUCGUCGUUAGAGUAAAUAAUGUACUCUGUUUGACCAUACGAGUUAUAAUUUUUUGUUUUUCGGUCCAAUUAAAUCCCCUUCUAUUUUUCAGUCCAUUAAUUAGAAGGUCUCAAUUAAUUGUCAAACUUUUCAAAUUAUGCAUUCUAUCAAAAAAAAAUGAUUUAUUUAUUACGAAUAUAAUAUAUUCUAAUCAUAAUUCUUAUUUAACAAAAAUUGUAAAAAUUUUGAACUAAUAAAAAAAAUUAUGCUAAUACAUUAAUCUGACUUUAAAUCUUAUGCUGCUUAGGUUCAGAAACCGCUUAAUGCCUUAAUCCAAAUAUCUUUCUAUUUUUUUAUUUAUUCAAAUUCAGUAAUCACCUUUAAUAUCAUCCUCUAAGUUUAACUUUAGAGUUCUUUUUUUUUAAAUUUUCUUCUCUUUAUCUUCUCAUUAUUAGGUAAUGCUAUUAUUAUUAUUAUUAUUAUUAUUAUUAUUAUGAUGGAGUAAAUAUCCCGUCAAAUGACCGGUACUUAAGUUGCAGUUGAACGUGUAGUCCUUAAGCACCCCUUCCGGUUGAAGGGGUGGAAUAAUUUCUUAACCCCGAAGUUAUUUUCAAACGUCUAAUUUGGGGAUGGCGUUAACUAAUUCUAUCUAAAAUGGGCUAUUCAGGAAUAGCCCAUUUGAGUUGAUCACCCCACUACUCCAACCUAGGGCUGGCAAACGAGCGAGCCGGCUCGCGUUCGACUCGUGUUCGGCUCGAUAUUCGGCUCGCUCGAGCUCGACUCGAAAUUAAAUGAGCCGAGCUUGAACAAAAUAAAAGGCUCGAAAUUCAUUUCAAGCCGAGCUUGAGUAUUACUCGGCUCGUUCGAAUUAGGCUCGAAAAGCUCGAAAAGCUCGAAUAUAUAUAUAUAUAUAGUUGGACUGGGCUACUAUUAGUAGCAAAAUUCCAUUGUUGCUACCAGUUUUUUAGCCUUUGGAUCAACUCUUUUCAUUAUUUCUAACUAUUGGAUUAAAUACUAUAACCCAGUGGGGACCACUCAACCCUAGGAGGACCAUUCAACUCUAACCGACUAAUAUCAUUCUGACCCUACAAUUUUUCAUCCAAGGGUUAAAAACUUGAUAGCAAAAAGAGCAUUUUACUAUUAAUAGUAUUCCAGCCUAAUUCUAUAUAUAUAUAUAUAUAUAAAAUGUAUUUUAAUUUAAUUUGGGCCAUUAUUGUUGGUCCAUAAAAUAAAUCCAACAAGUACAACCGUGCAAUUGAGCCCAACUUUAAAUUUACAUAACACACUCUCUCUUUUAAACUUUCACUGUUGCACAUAACCCUAAAAUAUGAUAACAUUCAAAUUCCCAAAUCCCUAAUUACCUAAUUUUGAUAAUCAGUCUAAUUCAAUGCGAAUUCAUUCCACAAAAGCUCUAAUUAAUAGUUAUGCGCUACCAACUGUACCUAGAGUAAAAUGGGCAAAGGAUUUGGUGUUAUGUACGAAGCUUCGAAAUGCUUGGCAUACAUGUUUUGCAUGGGAUUAAAUAUGUAGGCAAUUGGUGUAGUUUGAAUUUGUAAUUGUGCGAUUGUGGAAGAAAACAAUCCAUAAUUAAGCAUGCUUACAAGAAUGUCCUUUUCGUGUUUUCUAUUUCUACUAAUAGUGAUAUUAAAUUAUUUAAAACAGUCUUUUUCAUUGACAUUAACAGUUAUAGAUCUUAGAUUCAAGCUUUUCUGAGUUUAUUACCUUGUUUAAUUUUCUUUGGAUCAAAUAGUCAAGCGCGAAACACAUAUGGUACAUUGUGGGCCAAUAGAGCUCAAAUGUUGAAAUUUAUUGUUUAAGAUCUGGUUGGAAGCCGUAAUUUUCUCAAAUACUAACUAGUUGUGAAUUGGAUUUGUGCUCACAUCGAAUCAUAUAAAUCAAAUUUAAAAUAAAAUAAAAAUAAAUAUGAGAAAAAGAUAUUGGAGAAAAAGGAUAUAACCUAAACUAAUACUUUAUUUAAUCAAAAGACUAAAUAUAAUGAUGGCCUCAUUAUACUCUUUACUAUACCCGGCCCAUAACCGUUAAGGGCCGUAUGUAUUAGUCUUAUUGGCUAAUAAAAAUAUUUAUUUUGUUAAUUGUUUUUACUUCAAUACCUUUUCUCUAUUAUUUUAUUAUAUUUUAAAUUUUGAGUUACAUAAUUGGUAUUAGUACAAAUAUCGAUUUCAAACAUUAGUAUCAUAAAAAAUUCAUACUUCUAACAAUUAGUAUCAGAGCGGGUUAAAGAUUUUCAAAAAAUCUGGUAUUAAACGAGUACCUGGAUUUUCAACAAUUGGUAUCUAAGAGUUGUAAAGUUAUCAAUCUUGAAAGAGAUCCGACGUCAAAACACUGAAGUUUCUGAUAAUGUAGAAGAUCGAUAUCAGAGGCAGUGUUACCAGUUGUUCGGAGCUAAAGACUUCUAUGAUGGCCGGAAGUGUUCUCGUGCGAGAAUUAAUUCGAGUACGACUAUUAUUUUUUAAUUAAGAUAAACUCUGCUAAUAUUAAAAAAUAUUACUAAUUAAAUCUCGGUAAAUAUGAAAAAUAGUCACUCAUUUUGACUGCCGUUCGUAACUAGUGCACUGUAACUCAACACGCCUAUUCAAACAUCGUCCAAAAAACGUGGUUACUAAUUUACAAUCAUAAACUUUUUAGUUUACUCAUGCUCACUAAUUUCAAAAAAGAAAAAUUCAGAUAUAAAGUAAAAAAGAUAAAAGUGCAGCUACCUAAUAAACAUAGUGCGUAAGACCUACAUGAUCAAGAUUAGGUAUAGGUUUCUAGGCCCUGCUGGUUUAGAAUCGAGUUGACCCUUAGUUUUCAAAUUGGAUUAGGUAGCUGCUCAUGAAAUAACUUAUUAAAAGUUUUUAUCCAUUAAAAAAAAUAUAUAUUUUAUAUUUAUAUUAGUUUAGAUUGAGCAAUACUUUGUUGAGACAAGUUCUACUCAGGCCAAGGUCGAGGUCAAUGAAUUGAGCCUAAAUUUUCUAUUUAUAUGAUAUUAUUAUAACACUCAUGAUACUGUUCUCGCGUGAAGUAAUGUGAAUCGAGGAGACUCCACGCAUGUGUUUUUUUGUUUAGGCUCCGUUAAAUAAAUGAUGCCACUAAUAAAUAAAUAAAUUAUAAGCAAUCAUCCCUAUAACUGAUUAUUUUACCAUAAUAUACUCAUAUAAAAGUAAAGUGAAAGCUGCAUCUAUUACAUUUAAUUAGCAUGUUUUCAUUGAUAUUUUGAAUUGUGAAAGGCUUAGAAAAAAUAUUGAUUUUUUCAAGUCGAUGCAUUGUUAAGAGUAAGCUAAUGGUGCUCUGUUUGACCAUAUGAGUUAUAAUUUUUUUUUAUUCGUCCAAUUAAAAUCGCCUUCUAUUUUCAGUCAAUUAGAAGGUCUCAAUUAAUUGUCAAACAUUUCAAAAUUACAGUCUGCCAAAUAAAACGAUUAUUUAUUACGAAAAAUAAUAGAUUCUUAACCAUAACUCUUAUUUAAAGCAAAAUAUUGUAAAGAUUUGAACUAAUAAACAAAAUUAUGCUAAGACAUUUAAUAUGAGUUUAAAUCUAUGCUAUCUUUAGGUUCAGACUUCAGAGACGCGCUUAAUCCCAAAGUAUUUUUCUAUUUUUUUUAUUUAUGUAGAUUCUUUUUUUUUAGAGAGAAAGGUAACAAAUCUAUCUGCUUCAUUCAGUUAGCGAAACUUCCCUACUAAGUUUAACUUUAGAGUUUUUUUCUUAAUUUUAUUUUCUUGCUUUAUCUUCUUAUUAUUAGGUAAUGCUAUGAUAUUAUUAUUAUUUAUUAUUAUUAAAUUAUUAUUAUUCCCGUAAAUGACAAGUAUAAAGUUGCAAGUUGAACUUGUGUAGUCUAUAAUAGGAAGAGGAGAAAAAAAUAAUCAAAAUUAAUCCGAGACCUAGUAAUAAAUAAUUGUCAAAAUCAGCGUAGUGGAAUAGCAAAUCCAUUCCCCAAGCUACGGACGCUGACUUCCACUAUAACAACUUAUUAUCACUUUUUCAAACCCUUUGUCUGUAUAUACGUACGCGCGUCAAGGAUAGACCAAUCUCAAAUCUUAAGACAUUUUAUCCACACUUAUAUACAAUACUCAGACCCGCAACUUUCCCGUUCUCGCCUCAUCCACAAACCAAAAAAUAAGCACUUUCUCACAACCCGCUAGCAAAACAUACAACGACUCAACAACAACAAAAUCCAACUUUAGAAAUGGCAACUCUACAAUCUCAAAAGCCUCUUGCUAUCCGUCUCCUCUUCUUCUUCUCGAUUCAUUUCUACUCGUUCAAACGCGGUGUCGUGCCGUCCUCAUGCGCACGCGCGUCGAAUCUUAGCCGAAAGUAAAAGACCACUAUCCGCAAUUCACCUCACGAAGUCGAUGAUCGUCGUGUGGAUCACCCCCGCUGGCUCACCCACUGCUCCCCGCGAAAUCGCCGCAUAGCGAAGAUUUGAUGAGGUGAUCCGCAGCUCUACGCGAUCGCGAAGCCGCCGCCGACCGUGCGGAGAUGCACGCGAUCAUCGGGAAGCAGCGCGACAACUGAACCACCUCUUCCUUCACUCGUCAACUUCACCUCUCGCUCGCUCGUUCGCCUCGCUGAGUCGGCUAGCCUGCGUCGGGUCCGACGCCUCCUCGCCCCCACGUUUUAGCCUUCAAACUCUCCUCCGUGCUGUUAUUCGCUGCACGUCAACGUGAUGCUGGUGGUCAACAAGGUACAACCGUCUCAGCUCGCCGAAGAGCAAAGGAACGCGGCGAGAUUGUGGAGGAAGCUCGAGAAGGAGAGUUCAAAAGCAAACUCUCGCUCCAAACUCGCGCGAGUCGGACGUGGACGCCUCGAUGAGGUAGGUGCUAGCUCUCGACAAGGCAUACCGCGCUCCCUCUCCUCCCCGGCAUGCUCGAGAAGUUCCCCUAAGAAGGUGGAGCCCACGUGUUGCGUGCCGAGAAAAAUAUAAACAGUCAGAGACUACGGCUAUCGACGAAAAAAUCAUAACUUACUCAAAUGGUUGGAGCAAAGAGUUGGAGCGAGAGCAUGAAGGGCGUAGCGAAAGUGCUACAAACGAAAGAUCAAGAGGAGUACGUCACAGUGGGGAAGUUGGUACUGAACAUCAACAAAGGUUUCGCCAUCGCGGGGCCGUUUUUUGCGG
Molecule: long non-coding RNA, 13668 nt
Filed under: Ananas comosus (pineapple)
Lineage: Eukaryota; Viridiplantae; Streptophyta; Magnoliopsida; Poales; Bromeliaceae
Description: long non-coding RNA (ACOM_LNC008088)
Source: RNAcentral